UACGUAGGGGGCGAGCGUUGUCCGGAUUUAUUGGGCGUAAAGAGCUCGUAGGCGGUUCAACAAGUCGGUCGUGAAAGUUCAGGGCUCAACCCUGAAAUGUCGAUCGAUACUGUUGUGACUAGGAUACGGUAGAGGUGAGUGGAAUUCCGAGUGUAGCGGUGAAAUGCGUAGAUAUUCGGAGGAACACCAAUUGCGAAGGCAGCUCACUGGGCCGCUAUCGACGCUGAGGAGCGAAAGCUAGGGGAGCAAACAGGAUUAGAUACCCUGGUAGUCCUAGCUGUAAACGAUGGAUACUAGACGUAGGAACUGGAUUGACGGUUUCUGUGUCGUAGCUAACGCGUUAAGUAUCCCGCCUGGGGAGUACGGUCGCAAGACUAAAACUCAAAGGAAUUGACGGGACCCCGCACAAGCGGCGGAGCAUGCGGCUUAAUUCGAUGAUACCCGUAGAACCUUACCUGGACUUGACAUAUAGGGUCUAGCUAUAGAGAUAUAGUGUGCAUUAGCGCCCUAUACAGGUGGUGCAUGGCUGUCGUCAGCUCGUGUCGUGAGAUGUUGGGUUAAGUCCCGCAUCGAGCGCAACCCCUAUCCUAUGUUGCCAGCAUUUAGUUGGGGACUCAUAGGAGACUGCCGGUGAUAAACCGGAGGAAGGUGGGGACGACGUCAAGUCAUCAUGCCCCUUAUGUCCAGGGCUGCACGCAUGCUACAAUGGCAAGUACAACGAGUCGCAAUACCGCGAGGUGGAGCAAAUCUCUUAAAGCUUGUCUCAGUUCGGAUAGGAGUCUGCAACUCGACUCCUUGAAGUUGGAGUCGCUAGUAAUCGCAAAUCAGCAAAGUUGCGGUGAAUACGUUCUCGGGGUU
This 858-nucleotide ribosomal RNA is filed under the name uncultured bacterium. RNAcentral's name for it is "bacterial SSU rRNA". It matches the Rfam family "Bacterial small subunit ribosomal RNA", at positions 524 to 1381 of the family's 1533-position model. The record is from RNAcentral.